GGCGGUUCCUCUUGUUUCCUGUUUAAAGUUUACUUCCACUUUCCUCAGCCUGUUGUGUGUCUCAGCCUUUUCUCUCCGUAAGAAUCUCCAUCUGAAGGACCCAUCAGAGACCAGACCCUGCUGAACCUGAACCUGAACCUGAACCUGAACCCAGCUGUGUGUCCAUGAAGCCACCACUACUUUAAAAAAAAGAAGGCGACCUGUAAUCAAGAGGAGAAUUAAAAUGGACGAGAGGCAUAAAUAUGAGAGGGAGCAAAUGGAAAAUGAAAAGUUAAGAAGAAAGUUGGGGACCGUCAUGGGACCUGAACCUGAACCCAGCUGUGUGUCCAUGAAGAGUGACCAGUCAAUGGAGCCACCGCUAUUGUUCAGAGGAUCUUCAGUGUUUGAGACCGUCAUGGGACCUGAACCUGAACCCAGCUGUGUGUCCAUGAAGAGUGACCAGUCAAUGGAGCCACCGCUAUUGUUCAGAGGAUCUUCAGUGUUUGACAAUGCGCUGCAAGGCACCCUAAAGAAGAAGAAGAUCUUCUGUUUGUCACAGACUGACAGCCAGCGCAUCCAAUCAGCAACGAGGAAUCAUUGUCCAAUACGUACCUUCCUUUUCCGGUUUGGGUCUCACCAAAUGUCUUAUAUGUUUUGUGAAAUGUUUAAAGAUGAACUGAACUGGAAUUUGAGUAAAGGUGAUAUAACAGAUGUAUUUUAUUUCUUCUCAUUGGUACAAUGAUUAAAAUGGCUGGAUUUGUUAAAAGGGAUAAAAUGGUACAUUGAAAGUGUUGUUGUUGUUACACGGGCGCCGCCAUGUUGGAAUUCCACAAUCAGCUACGUCACUGGCAUGGUAAGCAGCCAUGGGAUGUAAACAGUCUGAGGCUAACGGACAUGGCUGAGGAAACGGAAACCAACAGGUCUAGGGGGGGUCAUACUGCAUUGCCCCUGGCUGCAGUAAUGAAUUGUAUAGGGCUAAGGCAGCUGGGGUUACGAUACAUUUCAGGCUACAGUACAGGGCAUCCCGAUAGACCAACGGCAAGUACUAACACCACCGAUGCUAUCCGCCGCAGAGACAGGGCGCUGAAACACUCACAUCAGGCAGAGGACAGAGAGGUAUGUUUAGAGGUUAUCCAGCAUGCUAGCAAUCUACUAGGCAAAGGGCUGGAUGUAACGUUGUUGUCACAUACACAAAACGCGUACAUAUUCACUUACACGCACAAAUACGGCCUGACGUGUAGGCUUUAUAACGUUCAACAAAACUGAGACUGACACACUGGGCAUUCAUUGAAAUUGAGUCACAAAACCAAGCUAGGUACCAAACGAUCCAACCUAGGGAAAGGGCUAGCAGCUAAACAUGUUGGAAGCACUUAUGUCAAACUCCACAAGCUAGCACUCCGACCAUAGACUGUAUAAAUAAACCAUGACUCCGAUGAUAUCACGUAUCAAUAAUAAUGCGUUACUAGCUGCUAACUAAACCACAGCGGGUCUGUAAACAGAAU
RNAcentral lists this long non-coding RNA (1481 nucleotides) under Sander lucioperca (pikeperch). RNAcentral's name for it is "lncRNA (ENSSLUG00000001805.1)". The record is from RNAcentral. Lineage: Eukaryota; Metazoa; Chordata; Actinopteri; Perciformes; Percidae.